Molecule: long non-coding RNA, 1741 nt
Filed under: Triticum aestivum (bread wheat)
Lineage: Eukaryota; Viridiplantae; Streptophyta; Magnoliopsida; Poales; Poaceae
Description: long non-coding RNA (TAES_LNC014958)
Source: RNAcentral
UAAUCUUCACACAACCCAUGUAAUACAUAAGGGAAAGAGUUUACAUAGUUGGCUUACACUCGCCACUUCACACAAUUACAUAAAUAAACAUUACAUCAAUCAAAUACACUCAUGGUCCGACUACGGAACCAAAAUAAAAGAAGAACCCCAAAUGCGACAAAGGUCCCAAUCACCCCCAACUGGGCUCCACUACUGAUCAACUAGAAUGAAACAACACAAAGGACAAGAUCUUCAUCGAGCUCCUCCUGAGCUUGGUUGCGUCAUCUGAACAAACUCAUCGGCACCUGCAAGCUGGUUUUGGAAGUAUCUGUGAGCCACGGGGACUCAGCAAUCUCGCACCCUCGCGAUCAAGACUAUUUAAGCUCAUAGGUAAGGCAAGAUAUGAGGUGGAGCUGCAGCAAGCGACUAGCAUAGAUGGUGGAUAAACAUACGCAAAUGAGAGCGAGAAGAGUAGGCAAAGCACGGUUGAUAAAAGUAUGAUCAAGAAGUGAUCCUAGACUACCUACGUCAAGCAUAACUCCAACAACCGUGUUCACUUCCCGGACUCCACCGGAAAGAGACCAUCACGGUUAUACACGCAUUUGAUUCAUUUUAAUUAAGUUAAGGUUCAAGUUAUCUACAACCAGACAUUAACAAAUUCCCAUCUGCCCAUAACCGCGGGCACGGCUUUCGAAAGUUCAAAUCCCUGCAGGGGUGUCCCAACUUAGCCCAUCACAAGCUCUCACGGUCAAUGAAGGAAUAGACCUCCACCCGAGACGUUCCAAUCAGACUUGGUAUCCCGGUACAACAAGACAUUUCGACAGGGUAAAACUAAACCAGCAACACCGCCCGAAUGUGCCGACAAAUCCCGAUAGGAGCUGCACAUAUCUCUUUCUCAGGGCACACUCAGAUGAGACUAGCUACGAGUAAAACCAACCCUCAAGUUUCCCCGAGGUGGCCCCGCAGGCAGCUCUGUUCGGACCAACACUCAGAGGAGCACUGGCCCCGGGGGGGGGGGGGUUAAAAUAAUGAUGACCCUUGGGCGCGCGACCCCCAAGGGAAAAGAAAAGGCUAGGUGGCAAAUGGUAAAACCAAUGUUGGGCAUUGCUGGAAAAUCUUUACUUAAGGCGAACUGUCAAGGGGUUCCCAUUAUAGCCCAACCGCUUGUGGAACGCAAAAUCCAGGAACAUAACACCGAUAUGACGGAAACUAGGGUGGCAAGAGUGGAACAAAACACCAGGCAUAAGGCCGAGCCUUCCACCCUUUACCAAGUAUAUAGAUGCAUUAAUUAAAUCAGAUAUAUAGUGAUAUCCCAACAAGUAAACAAUAUUCCAACAAGGAACAACAUCUCCAUGUUCCAACAAGGAACAAACUUCAAUCUUCACCUGCAACUAACAACGCUAUAAGAGGGGCUGAGCAAAGCGGUAACAUAGCCAAUCAACGGUUUCCUAGGACAUGGUGGGUUAGAGGUUUGACAUGGCAAUUGGGAUGCUGACAAGCAAAUGGUAGGCAUCGAAGCAUUGGCAUAGCAAAGAGCGAGCAAACUAGCAUAGCAAAGAUAGUAGUGAUUUCGAGGGUAUGAUCAUCUUGCCUGAGAUCCCGCAAGGAAGAAGAACGAGUCCAUGAAGAAGACAAACGGAACGUAGACGAACGAACCCUCACAACAUGACGUUAUCGGAACCAACCCAAAGAAGCACACCGGAAAGAAGCAGACAACAUAGUAAACAACCACGACAUAAUCAUGGCAUGAUGCGCAAACAAG